UUAUGGGGUGAGCUCCCCUCUUUACA
This 26-nucleotide transfer RNA is filed under the name Tympanocryptis cephalus. RNAcentral's name for it is "partial tRNA-Tyr". Lineage: Eukaryota; Metazoa; Chordata; Lepidosauria; Squamata; Agamidae. The record is from RNAcentral.